AACGCACAUUGCGCCCCCUGGUAUUCCGGGGGGCAUGCCUGUCCGAGCGUCAUUUCUGCCCUCAAGCACGGCUUGUGUGUUGGGCCCCGUCCUCCGAUCCCGGGGGACGGGCCCGAAAGGCAGCGGCGGCACCGCGUCCGGUCCUCGAGCGUAUGGGGCUUUGUCACCCGCUCAGUGGGCCCGUCCGGCGCUUGCUGAUCAACCCAAAUUUUUAUCCAGGUUGACCGCGGAUCGGGUAGGGAUUCCCGCUGGACUUA
This 257-nucleotide unclassified non-coding RNA is filed under the name uncultured fungus. Its description in RNAcentral is "partial contains 5.8S rRNA and ITS2". The stretch from base 1 to 52 matches the Rfam family "5.8S ribosomal RNA", at positions 103 to 154 of the family's 154-position model. Lineage: Eukaryota; Fungi. The record is from RNAcentral.